UGGGGAAUUUUGGACAAUGGGCGAAAGCCUGAUCCAGCAAUGCCGCGUGUGUGAAGAAGGCCUUCGGGUUGUAAAGCACUUUUGUCCGGAAAGAAAUCCUUGGCUCUAAUACAGUCGGGGGAUGACGGUACCGGAAGAAUAAGCACCGGCUAACUACGUGCCAGCAGCCGCGGUAAUACGUAGGGUGCAAGCGUUAAUCGGAAUUACUGGGCGUAAAGCGUGCGCAGGCGGUUUGCUAAGACCGAUGUGAAAUCCCCGGGCUCAACCUGGGAACUGCAUUGGUGACUGGCAGGCUAGAGUAUGGCAGAGGGGGGUAGAAUUCCACGUGUAGCAGUGAAAUGCGUAGAGAUGUGGAGGAAUACCGAUGGCGAAGGCAGCCCCCUGGGCCAAUACUGACGCUCAUGCACGAAAGCGUGGGGAGCAAACAGGAUUAGAUACCCUGGUAGUCCACGCCCUAAACGAUGUCAACUAGUUGUUGGGGAUUCAUUUCCUUAGUAACGUAGCUAACGCGUGAAGUUGACCGCCUGGGGGGUACGGUCGCAAGAUUAAAACUCAAAUGAAUUGACGGGGUCAUAGCUG
Molecule: ribosomal RNA, 579 nt
Filed under: uncultured bacterium
Lineage: Bacteria
Description: partial 16S ribosomal RNA
Rfam family: Bacterial small subunit ribosomal RNA
Source: RNAcentral